AGAAUAUUACCAUGGCUCCAGCAUAAGGAUGACGUGAAGAUUCAUGAAGGACUCCAUAAUUUU
This 63-nucleotide small nuclear RNA is filed under the name Cervus elaphus hippelaphus. The record is from RNAcentral. Lineage: Eukaryota; Metazoa; Chordata; Mammalia; Artiodactyla; Cervidae.